AGAGUUUGAUCAUGGCUCAGGAUCAACGCUGGCGGCGUGCAUGAGACAUGCAAGUCGAACGGGUGACUCGGGCUUGCUCGAGUCGCUAGUGGCGAACGGCUGAGUAACGCGUAGGCGACCUGCCCCGAAGUGGGGAAUAACUGCCCGAAAGGGUGGCUAAUACCGCAUGUGGUCGUGCGUUCGAUCGCACGAUCAAAGCCGCAAGGCGCUUCGGGAGGGGCCUGCGUCCGAUUAGCUCGUUGGUGGGGUAAUGGCCUACCAAGGCGACGAUCGGUAGGUGGUCUGAGAGGACGAUCACCCAGACUGGGACUGAGACACGGCCCAGACUCCUACGGGAGGCAGCAGUCGGGAAUUUUGCUCAAUGGGCGAAAGCCUGAAGCAGCAACGCCGCGUGAGGGAUGGAGGCCUUCGGGUCGUAAACCUCUUUUCUCAGGGACGAUGAUGACGGUACCUGAGGAAUAAGCCACGGCAAACUACGUGCCAGCCGCCGCGGUAAUAC
Molecule: ribosomal RNA, 499 nt
Filed under: uncultured bacterium
Lineage: Bacteria
Description: bacterial SSU rRNA
Rfam family: Bacterial small subunit ribosomal RNA
Source: RNAcentral